UCGUAACGGCGAGCGAACCGGAAAGAGCCCAGCUUGAAAAUCGAGGUGCUUCGCACCUCGAAUUGUAGUCUGGAGAAGCGUCCUCUGCAGCGUGCCGGCCCCAAGUUCCCUGGAAUGGGAUGCCCAAGAGGGUGACAGCCCCGUCGAGGCCGGUUUUUUAUUGCUGCUCCACGAGGCGCGAUCUGCGAGUCGGGCUGUUUGGGAAUGCAGCCCUAAGUGGGAGGUAAAUUCCUUCUAAGGCUAAAUAUUGGCAAGAGACCGAUAGCGAACAAGUACCGCGAGGGAAAGAUGAAAAGGACUUUGAAAAGAGAGUUAAACAGCUGCUUGAAAUUGCUGGGAGGGAAGCGAAUGGAAGCUGCGGGUGUGCCCCGGUUGGAUGUGGAACGGCUUCGGCUGGUCUGCCGCUCAACGCGGGGCACUGGUCAGCGUGGGCUACUUCGGCGGGACAAGAGCAGGAUGUAAGUUUCCUGCCCCCCACUCCCGCCGAGGUGGCCGAGGAANNAAGCGUGCGGCCNCCUUCUUGGGGGGGUAGUGGGACUCGUCCCAACUGCACGCUCGGGACGCUGGCGUAUUGAGCUCUUCAUCCGACCCGUCUUGAAACACGGACCAAGGAGUCUAACAUGUAUGCAAGCAGGUGGGCGGCAAACCCAUUGAUGCGCAAGUAAACUGACAGGUGGGACCCCCGUAAAAAAGGGUGCACCAUCGACCGACCGUGAUCUUCUGUGAAAGGUUUGAGUGUGAGCAUACCUGUUGGGACCCGAAAGAUGGUGAACUAUGCCUGAGCAGGGCGAAGCCAGAGGAAACUCUGGUGGAGGCUCGUAGCGAUACUGACGUGCAAAUCGUUCGUCAGACUUGGGUAUAGGGGCGAAAGACUAAUCGAACCAUCUAGUAGCUGGUUCCCUCCGAAGUUUCCCUCAGGAUAGCUGGAGCUCGUGUAAGAGUUUUAUCAGGUAAAGCGAAUGAUUAGAGGCAUCGGGGGUGUAACACCCUCGACCCUAUUCUCAAACUUUAAAUAGG
This 1017-nucleotide ribosomal RNA is filed under the name Physcomitrium serratum. RNAcentral's name for it is "eukaryotic LSU rRNA". It matches the Rfam family "Eukaryotic large subunit ribosomal RNA", at positions 81 to 1073 of the family's 3401-position model. Lineage: Eukaryota; Viridiplantae; Streptophyta; Bryopsida; Funariales; Funariaceae. The record is from RNAcentral.